This 303-nucleotide ribosomal RNA is filed under the name uncultured bacterium. RNAcentral describes it as "partial 16S ribosomal RNA". It matches the Rfam family "Bacterial small subunit ribosomal RNA", at positions 507 to 807 of the family's 1533-position model. The record is from RNAcentral.
AGCAGUAGCCGCGGGAAAACGGAGGGUGCAAGCGUUACUCGGAAUCACUGGGCGUAAAGGACGCGUAGGCGGAUUAUCAAGUCUCUUGUGAAAUCCAACGGCUUAACCGUUAAACUGCUUGGGAAACUGAUAAUCUAGAGUAAGGGAGAGGCAGAUGGAAUUCUUGGUGUAGGGGUAAAAUCCGUAGAUAUCAAGAAGAAUACCUAUUGCGAAGGCGAUCUGCUGGAACUUAACUGACGCUAAUGCGUGAAAGCGUGGGGAGCAAACAGGAUUAGAUACCCGGGUAGUCCCUGUCUCUUAUAC